CCUACGGGAGGCAGCAGUGAGGAAUAUUGGUCAAUGGACGAGAGUCUGAACCAGCCAAGUAGCGUGAAGGAUGACUGCCCUAUGGGUUGUAAACUUCUUUUAUAAAGGAAUAAAACGAGGCACGUGUGCCUUUUUGCAUGUACUUUAUGAAUAAGGAUCGGCUAAUUCCGUGCCAGCAGCCGCGGUAAUCCGGAGGAUCCGAGCGUUAUCCGGAUUUCUUGGGUUUAAAGGGUGCGUAGUUGGGUUGUUAAGUCAGUUGUGAAAGUUUGCGGCUCAACCGUAAAAUUGCAAUUGAUACUGGCAUUCUUGAGUACAGUUGAGGUAGGCGGAAUUCGUGGUGUAGCGAUGAAAUGCUUAGAUAUCACGAAGAACCCCGAUUGCGAAGGCAGCUUACUAAACUGUGACUGACAUUGAUGCUCGAAAGUGUGGGUAUCAAACAGGAUUAGAUACCCUAGUAGUC
This 460-nucleotide ribosomal RNA is filed under the name uncultured bacterium. RNAcentral's name for it is "partial 16S ribosomal RNA". It matches the Rfam family "Bacterial small subunit ribosomal RNA", at positions 338 to 795 of the family's 1533-position model. The record is from RNAcentral.